Molecule: non-coding RNA, 234 nt
Organism: Pelobates cultripes (western spadefoot toad)
Lineage: Eukaryota; Metazoa; Chordata; Amphibia; Anura; Pelobatidae
Source: the annotation of a GenBank genome assembly
CUUGAGGUUUGUCCAAAGCCUCUUCCUGCAGGAUAAAACUGAUUGUGUUUUUUGAAUGCUUAGACGUCAUGGACUGGUGUUUGCCUGCCAUUGUAUAACCAUGGAGAUAUUAGAUCCGGAAAUCUCUCACCAUCGCCAUUUCACAAUUAAAAUGGGAGCAAAUUAUUUUUAGAAGUUCCAAGAUGUCUUCUUUUGUAGUAGGUGAAUCGAGGUAAGUAAAGGGAUUUUCGUUGG